ACUUUACUUUGUGUUUUUGGGUCCUUGCAAUGCUCUAAUAUCCUCUGUAUUACACGGCACCCAUAUGGAUGGGUGGAGAGAUUCACAACUUGAUCAAAGAAUGUUGAGACAACAAAUUGGAUAUUUUCUUCAGGAACACACUCAAUACACUUUUGGAUUACAUGGUUCCCAUUCUGGUCGCGUACACAACGCGUGACAUGACCAUCAAGCUCUUCGACCAUUUUAAUCUUCUGGUCUAGAUCAACAACCUCAAUGGCCUUCUGGAUCACNNNNNNCUAAGUGUCAAAACAUGACCAAAAAGCUUGCCAGCCAGUUCUCUUCUCUGUGAAGGAAGCCCAUGCUCAAAGAACUUCUGUAUUACAUAAUUACCAAACACAUCAGUCAUUAAAGCAAG
This 394-nucleotide unclassified non-coding RNA is filed under the name Hevea brasiliensis (rubber tree). Lineage: Eukaryota; Viridiplantae; Streptophyta; Magnoliopsida; Malpighiales; Euphorbiaceae. The record is from RNAcentral.